ACUCAAAGCCCAUUCAGGGGUUGCUAAGCAUGAAAGCCUUUGUUGUGUCAGAGCUACCCUCAGACAGUUCUCUCUGACUGCCAAAUUUCUCUCUUGUAGAUGGGGAGUAGAGGGAAGCCAUUUUUGUUCAUCCCGUUAUAGAUGAAAGUUCUUUUCUAGGAGAACUUCAGGCUCAGCAGAGAAUGAGGAGUGAUAGGGUAAGGAGGAAUAAGGAUGCUGAGCUGACUUGGAUACACAGAAUACUGAUUAUAUAAGCAGAUGUAUCUGAAACAGGGAAAGCAAAAGCUUGCCACAUCUCCAUGGCAAUCAGCAUGGAAACCCAAUGGCACGCUUUGUCUUUUUGGUGGAAUUUUCAUUCCAUAACAGAAGUCUAUACUAGUAUACCCAUCUUCACCCUGAUACCAGCCAUGUGGACGAGGGACAUCACCAUGAAGAAUUACACCUGGUUAAGGAAGACUGUGCCCUCCCUCUCUCUAGGGCACUGCAUCUUCCAAUCCAGAGGAGGACUACAAGGCUCAGCAGGAGGAAAUGCAAAGAUGGCCAACAAAGGAAAUUCGGCAAGUUGACACAACACUACAGCAACUCUAAAGCUGCCAACCUCACUCUUCCCCAAAAACAGAACAACGCAUUCCACGGUGGUUUGGGCAAAUCUGUCCUGUUGCUCUUAUGGGACAGGUAGGCUGCAGGCAACUCAGUGAGAAAAUCAAGUUAUUUGGUUUCCUUGCCCAGUGAAACAAUAUCCUUACUUUCCUGAAUGAGCACAAAUGGUCAGGACAUAGGGAUUAGUGGCCUCACUGUCCACAGGAAUGGGGAGCGCCCAGACUUUCUCUCUUCCCCUGCAACUGUAAUUUUCCUGAAAAAGUCAGAGCAAGUUCUGUAUUAAAAUAAGCAGUCUGAACCUGGAGGGUCCCCUGAGGAUGACAGAUUAGAUACUUAGAGUACUUACUUCCCCAAGCAAUAACUCCUGGGGGCUGCAGACCCCUUGUUUACCC
Molecule: long non-coding RNA, 992 nt
Filed under: Felis catus (domestic cat)
Lineage: Eukaryota; Metazoa; Chordata; Mammalia; Carnivora; Felidae
Description: lncRNA (ENSFCAG00000052694.1)
Source: RNAcentral